AAAGGUAGGUCGAUCUCAAUCGAGAUCACCACUUUCAUUCUGAAUGCUAAUUUGAAGGGAGUCUCUCAGGUCGGGAUCCGAGGAGUCGUUCGAUUAGAUUAUAGGACACUGAAAAGUUUGUCAGCCCAACACCCUUUGGCUUGACCGAUUCUUGUCUUCAGGCCUUGUAAAAUUAUCCUGUUGGUCAUCUCGGCUUGUCCAUUAGAUUACG
Molecule: long non-coding RNA, 211 nt
Filed under: Elaeis guineensis (African oil palm)
Lineage: Eukaryota; Viridiplantae; Streptophyta; Magnoliopsida; Arecales; Arecaceae
Description: long non-coding RNA (EGUI_LNC011832)
Source: RNAcentral